CGACACCACCACGGGUGCCCGGUGAAAUUCCGGGCUGAGACGCCGUCACGGCGAACCGUCGAACCUGAUUCGGUUAGUACCGACGCUAGGGAGAAAACAUGAGCACAGG
This 109-nucleotide non-coding RNA is filed under the name Corynebacterium halotolerans. RNAcentral describes it as "TPP sequence". It matches the Rfam family "TPP riboswitch aptamer (THI element)". Rfam says of the family: Vitamin B(1) in its active form thiamin pyrophosphate (TPP) is an essential coenzyme that is synthesised by coupling of pyrimidine and thiazole moieties in bacteria. The record is from RNAcentral. RNAcentral also lists the same sequence under 1 other name. Lineage: Bacteria; Bacillati; Actinomycetota; Actinomycetes; Mycobacteriales; Corynebacteriaceae.